Puntigrus tetrazona (Sumatra barb) is the source of this 1628-nucleotide long non-coding RNA. RefSeq lists it as uncharacterized. The record is from RefSeq and is a predicted model, not a curated record. Lineage: Eukaryota; Metazoa; Chordata; Actinopteri; Cypriniformes; Cyprinidae. The transcript is spliced from 3 exons.
UCCUAAAAUAUAAUUAGCAUUUACCACAGUUUGACCAGUUCAAUCAAAGCUCAUGAAUAUUUAAUGAGGCAGGCACUCUUCAGUUUAUGAUUGGUUGCCUGAUGCAAAACCUCCGCAGCGGCGCUUCAUAAACCUGGAUUGAAAGCUGCUCUUUUUAUUAUAAUUAAAAGUGCCCAACGUGUUUCUAAAAAUGACAUUUACACGUUUUAAACGCCUAUAAUCGCCGGAAGCUAUUGUAUUGUUCGUUAGUAUUUUGUUGUAUUGGGAUUUUGCUAAUUUGCGUAGCGGAACGUUGUUGUUAUGCUAACGGCCGCUGUCGCUAAUGUCGAAAAAAAAAAACAGAAAUUCGUGAAAACGACUGCCUUUGGAUCACUUUUCAUGGAAACAAUGGCCUCCUCUACACCCCUGCUAACUUUAAAAGAGCCUGGAACAAAAACGGGGGUCUGGGGCCCACGGAGGAGACUGACAGGUGAAAAGAGCGGUGCAUGGAGAAAGAAAACCAUCUGUGUGGUGCUUUAAAGAAGCCAGAAACUAACAUGCCGAUCUGAAGAACCUAUAAAUAUAACAUCAAGAACUUUUUUAAUGUCAGAAGAACUGGGUAUACAGUAGUUCAUAAGAAGGUGCUGCAAAAACUUUUUUUUUUUUAAAGAAUGUGGCCUUCAAAAAUAUGAAUUUUCAAUUUCAAGUUAUAUUUUUAUUACAGAAUUUGCAUGCAAAUUAAAGCAUUUUUUUACUUUUGUACCCCACUGUAUGUUUUGCACAUGCACAAACGUCCCAUCAGCAUUCAGAAAGCCUGUAAAUGUGAGUUGCAUGUGUUUUUUUUAACAGUUUAAGGACAAGUUUAGUUUUGUCAUAGAUUUUAUUAAGGUUAAUUAAAGCUGGAAUUACCUCUAAAACCUUAACUGAACCUUUCCCCGAGAGCUGUUUGUCAUCCUUUAGAUGUUAAUUACUCCAAAAAAAUGCAAGUAAAACUUUGAUACAAUAGAAAAUGCUCAGACAUGUUGGUCUUGAUAAUGAAGGUGUUUUGCUUGGCAGCCCUCAUUCUUUUACACAUUAACAAUAAGCCAUUCUUUUAAGAAAGCUAAUACUUAAGAGCCUUAUAAUUCAUAUUUGUGAUUAUUUGCAUUUACUAUAAGACAUAAAAAAUGCAUUCAUUCAGUGUGCCAGAAAGCUUAAUCAUAAUUAUGUUUCUAAUGAGUGUUUUGCCUGCUUGGAUCUGUGAGAAAUGCUCAUCAAUUAUGAUAAAAAAUAAAGGUUCUUCGGGUUCAGCAAAGAACUCUUCUUACAUUUUUGACUGUAUACUUUUUUUAAAUCGCUAUAUGGUGAUGAAGUUAAUGCAAUUGCAUUGUUGGUUGUUAAGCAUAUUUGGUUUCUUCACAACAGUAGUUCCCAGUCCUGGUUCUGAAGAGCUGCACAUUUUGGAUAUUUAGCUUAUUUAACUCCCCCGAUUUAUAUCCUGAGCUUAUUAGUAGGGGCUCUGAAUUGGGUGUGUCAGAUAAGGCAGACCAGGAUUAAGAACCACUGCUUUAAAACACCAGUUUCUUUUAGAGGAUACAAAGCACAUUGCAUGAGUCCAAAAUCAUCUUUUUUGUGGCGUCACAAUAUAAAAUAACGAUUCUGAUGAUUGC